CCGGUAAACGGCGGCCGUAACUAUAACGGUCCUAAGGUAGCGAAAUUCCUUGUCGGGUAAGUUCCGACCUGCACGAAUGGCGUAAUGAUGGCCAGGCUGUCUCCACCCGAGACUCAGUGAAAUUGAACUCGCUGUGAAGAUGCAGUGUACCCGCGGCAAGACGGAAAGACCCCGUGAACCUUUACUAUAGCUUGACACUGAACAUUGAGCCUUGAUGUGUAGGAUAGGUGGGAGGCUUAGAAGUGUGGACGCCAGUCUGCAUGGAGCCGACCUUGAAAUACCACCCUUUAAUGUUUGAUGUUCUAACGUUGACCCGUGAUCCGGGUUGCGGACAGUGUCUGGUGGGUAGUUUGACUGGGGCGGUCUCCUCCUAAAGAGUAACGGAGGAGCACGAAGGUUGGCUAAUCCUGGUCGGACAUCAGGAGGUUAGUGCAAUGGCAUAAGCCAGCUUGACUGCGAGCGUGACGGCGCGAGCAGGUGCGAAAGCAGGUCAUAGUGAUCCGGUGGUUCUGAAUGGAAGGGCCAUCGCUCAACGGAUAAAAGGUACUCCGGGGAUAACAGGCUGAUACCGCCCAAGAGUUCAUAUCGACGGCGGUGUUUGGCACCUCGAUGUCGGCUCAUCACAUCCUGGGGCUGAAGUAGGUCCCAAGGGUAUGGCUGUUCGCCAUUUAAAGUGGUACGCGAGCUGGGUUUAGAACGUCGUGAGACAGUUCGGUCCCUAUCUGCCGUGGGCGCUGGAGAACUGAGGGGGGCUGCUCCUAGUACGAGAGGACCGGAGUGGACGCAUCACUGGUGUUCGGGUUGUCAUGCCAAUGGCACUGCCCGGUAGCUAAAUGCGGAAGAGAUAAGUGCUGAAAGCAUCUAAGCACGAAACUUGCCCCGAGAUGAGUUC
RNAcentral lists this ribosomal RNA (892 nucleotides) under Escherichia coli. RNAcentral describes it as "partial 23S ribosomal RNA". It matches the Rfam family "Bacterial large subunit ribosomal RNA", at positions 1920 to 2811 of the family's 2925-position model. The record is from RNAcentral. Lineage: Bacteria; Pseudomonadati; Pseudomonadota; Gammaproteobacteria; Enterobacterales; Enterobacteriaceae.